Molecule: small RNA, 262 nt
Filed under: Arabidopsis thaliana (thale cress)
Lineage: Eukaryota; Viridiplantae; Streptophyta; Magnoliopsida; Brassicales; Brassicaceae
Description: ATSL078560
Source: RNAcentral
UUAUUAAUAUGUUGUUUUAAUAGGGGUUAAAAACUUCAGUUUUUUAACAAUUGUCUCAUGAAUUCGUGGUAUAGUGUUAGUUAAUAACAAUUAUAAACUGUAAACUAUAAAUAUUUUAUAAAAAUAAAAUUUGCAAGUUUUAAUAUAUAUUACUUUUAAAAAAUAAAUCGUUCCGCGGUAUACCGCGGAUUAAAAUCUAGUGACCAUUUAUUCAUAAAGUUUUUCACUUCAAACACUCUAAAAUAUAGAAUUUUUAAUGAUA